GGACGGUUAGCUCAGUUGGGAGAGCACCGCCCUUACAAGGCGGGGGUCACUGGUUCAAGCCCAGUAUCGUCCACCA
This 76-nucleotide transfer RNA is filed under the name Thalassotalea euphylliae. RNAcentral's name for it is "tRNA-Val". It matches the Rfam family "tRNA". From Rfam's summary of the family: Transfer RNA (tRNA) molecules are approximately 80 nucleotides in length. Lineage: Bacteria; Pseudomonadati; Pseudomonadota; Gammaproteobacteria; Alteromonadales; Colwelliaceae. The record is from RNAcentral.